AGAACGAACGCUGGCGGCAUGCCUAACACAUGCAAGUCGAACGAGACCUUCGGGUCUAGUGGCGCACGGGUGCGUAACGCGUGGGAACCUGCCUUUAGGUUCGGAAUAACUCUCCGAAAGGGGUGCUAAUACCGAAUAAUGUCUUCGGACCAAAGAUUUAUCGCCUUUAGAUGGGCCCGCGUUGGAUUAGCUAGUUGGUGGGGUAAAGGCCUACCAAGGCGACGAUCCAUAGCUGGUCUGAGAGGAUGAUCAGCCACACUGGGACUGAGACACGGCCCAGACUCCUACGGGAGGCAGCAGUGGGGAAUAUUGGACAAUGGGCGAAAGCCUGAUCCAGCAAUGCCGCGUGAGUGAUGAAGGCCUUAGGGUUGUAAAGCUCUUUUACCAGGGAUGAUAAUGACAGUACCCGCAGAAGAAGUCCCGGCUAACUUCGUGCCAGCAGCCGC
Molecule: ribosomal RNA, 446 nt
Filed under: uncultured bacterium
Lineage: Bacteria
Description: SSU rRNA
Rfam family: Bacterial small subunit ribosomal RNA
Source: RNAcentral